CCAGGCCAAAUAGGCAGGGUGUGAGAAUGGAACAUGAGAAGCACGGCUCCAAGCACUGCUGUGAAAGGUUGGUUUCUGCCCUUCUUGCUUCAGUCUCCUUACCAGCACGCUGCUAUGCACCACGGUUGUGCCGGGAUGUUGUGCCUCAGUGGCUGAGAAAAGCCCUUCCAGUACAUGUAUAAGAUAUCCAGAGGCACAGGAACCGAAACUGAAGAAAACAUUUGUGGGGUUCCACAGAGACGGAAGCUGCCACUGGUCUGCACGUGUGAAUCCUGCUGGUGCACUUUGGAACUUGGAAGGAUAACCUGCUGCUUGCCCAUAAUGAAAGCUGAAUGUAAAACUGGCCAUAUUCAAAUUCCCAGUGCCCAGCAAACUGGGGUGUGGGGACUUAAGGCAGAAGAGAGGGGAAAAACCAGGCCGUUCUCUGCAGGACAUUCAUUUGGAGCUGAAAUAUCACUGAUUAAAAACCAAAGCAAAAAGCCAGCUAUCUGA
Molecule: long non-coding RNA, 492 nt
Filed under: Coturnix japonica (Japanese quail)
Lineage: Eukaryota; Metazoa; Chordata; Aves; Galliformes; Phasianidae
Description: lncRNA (ENSCJPG00005008644.1)
Source: RNAcentral